CUACGUGCCAGCAGCCGCGGUAAUACGGAAGGUCCAGGCGUUAUCCGGAUUUAUUGGGUUUAAAGGGAGCGUAGGCGGAUUGUUAAGUCAGCGGUUAAAGGGUGUGGCUCAACCAUGCAUUGCCGUUGAAACUGGCGAUCUUGAGUGCAGACAGGGAUGCCGGAAUUCGUGGUGUAGCGGUGAAAUGCUUAGAUAUCACGAAGAACUCCGAUCGCGAAGGCAGGUGUCCGGGCUGCAACUGACGCUGAGGCUCGAAAGUGUGGGUAUCAAACAGGAUUAGAUACCCUGGUAGUCCACACAGUAAACGAUGUAUACCCGCGGUUUGCGAUAGAUUGUAAGCCGCCAAGCGAAAGCAUUAAGUAUACCACCUGGGGAGUACGCCGGCAACGGUGAAACUCAAAGGAAUUGACGGGGGCCCGCACAAGCGGAGGAACAGGUGGUUUAAUUCGAUGAUACGCGAGGAACCUUACCCGGGCUUGAACUAACGGUGACGAAUCUAGAGAUAG
Molecule: ribosomal RNA, 506 nt
Filed under: uncultured bacterium
Lineage: Bacteria
Description: bacterial SSU rRNA
Rfam family: Bacterial small subunit ribosomal RNA
Source: RNAcentral